UAGGGAAUCUUCGGCAAUGGGGGCAACCCUGACCGAGCAACGCCGCGUGAGUGAAGAAGGUUUUCGGAUCGUAAAGCUCUGUUGUAAGUCAAGAACGAGUGUGAGAGUGGAAAGUUCACACUGUGACGGUAGCUUACCAGAAAGGGACGGCUAACUACGUGCCAGCAGCCGCGGUAAUACGUAGGUCCCGAGCGUUGUCCGGAUUUAUUGGGCGUAAAGCGAGCGCAGGCGGUUUGAUAAGUCUGAAGUUAAAGGCUGUGGCUCAACCAUAGUUCGCUUUGGAAACUGUCAAACUUGAGUGCAGAAGGGGAGAGUGGAAUUCCAUGUGUAGCGGUGAAAUGCGUAGAUAUAUGGAGGAACACCGGUGGCGAAAGCGGCUCUCUGGCUUGUAACUGACGCUGAGGCUCGAAAGCGUGGGGAGCAAACAGGAUUAGAUACCCUGGUAGUCCACGCCGUAAACGAUGAGUGCUAGGUGUUAGACCCUUUCCGGGGUUUAGUGCCGUAGCUAACGCAUUAAGCACUCCGCCUGGGGAGUACGACCGCAAGGUUG
RNAcentral lists this ribosomal RNA (550 nucleotides) under uncultured bacterium. RNAcentral's name for it is "bacterial SSU rRNA". It matches the Rfam family "Bacterial small subunit ribosomal RNA", at positions 355 to 896 of the family's 1533-position model. The record is from RNAcentral.